AGUGAGUGUGGAUUUGGCGGGG
Molecule: microRNA, 22 nt
Filed under: Macaca mulatta (Rhesus monkey)
Lineage: Eukaryota; Metazoa; Chordata; Mammalia; Primates; Cercopithecidae
Description: mml-miR-6790-5p
Source: miRBase by way of RNAcentral